RNAcentral lists this ribosomal RNA (436 nucleotides) under uncultured bacterium. RNAcentral's name for it is "bacterial SSU rRNA". It matches the Rfam family "Bacterial small subunit ribosomal RNA", at positions 30 to 465 of the family's 1533-position model. The record is from RNAcentral.
AUUGAACGCUGGCGGCAGGCCUAACACAUGCAAGUCGAGCGGUAGAGAGGUGCUUGCAUCUCUUGAGAGCGGCGGACGGGUGAGUAAUGCCUAGGAAUCUGCCUAGUGGUGGGGGAUAACGUUCGGAAACGGACGCUAAUACCGCAUACGUCCUACGGGAGAAAGCGGGGGAUCUUCGGACCUCGCGCCAUUAGAUGAGCCUAGGUCGGAUUAGCUAGUUGGUGAGGUAAUGGCUCACCAAGGCGACGAUCCGUAACUGGUCUGAGAGGAUGAUCAGUCACACUGGAACUGAGACACGGUCCAGACUCCUACGGGAGGCAGCAGUGGAGAAUAUUGGACAAUGGGCGAAAGCCUGAUCCAGCCAUGCCGCGUGUGUGAAGAAGGUACUUCGGAUUGUAAAGCACUUUAAGUUGGGAGGAAGGGUAGGUAACCUAAU